AAAACUUUCAACAACGGAUCUCUUGGUUCCAGCAUCGAUGAAGAACGCAGCGAAAUGCGAUAAAUAAUGUGAAUUGCAGAAUUCAGUGAAUCAUCGAGUCUUUGAACGCACAUUGCGCCCCUCGGUAUUCCGGGGGGUAUGCCUGUUCGAGCGUCAUU
This 158-nucleotide ribosomal RNA is filed under the name Hypotrachyna nepalensis. Its description in RNAcentral is "5.8S ribosomal RNA". It matches the Rfam family "5.8S ribosomal RNA". Rfam says of the family: 5.8S ribosomal RNA (5.8S rRNA) is a component of the large subunit of the eukaryotic ribosome. It is transcribed by RNA polymerase I as part of the 45S precursor that also contains 18S and 28S rRNA. The record is from RNAcentral. Lineage: Eukaryota; Fungi; Ascomycota; Lecanoromycetes; Lecanorales; Parmeliaceae.